RNAcentral lists this ribosomal RNA (473 nucleotides) under uncultured bacterium. RNAcentral describes it as "bacterial SSU rRNA". It matches the Rfam family "Bacterial small subunit ribosomal RNA", at positions 26 to 518 of the family's 1533-position model. The record is from RNAcentral.
AGGACGAACGCUGGCGGCGUGCUUAACACAUGCAAGUCGAGCGGAGAAUAUAGCAAUAUAUUCUUAGCGGCGGACGGGUGAGUAACGCGUGGGCAAUCUGCCUCAUACAGGGGGAUAACACUGGGAAACUAGUGCUAAUACCGCAUAAAAUAGUGAAGUGGCAUCACUUUACUAUCAAAGGAGCAAUCCGGUGUGAGAUGAGCCCGCGUCCGAUUAGCUAGUUGGAGGGUAACGGCCCACCAAGGCGACGAUCGGUAGCCGAACUGAGAGGUUGAUCGGCCACAUUGGGACUGAGACACGGCCCAGACUCCUACGGGAGGCAGCAGUGGGGAAUAUUGCGCAAAUGGGGGAAACCCUGACGCAGCAACGCCGCGUGAAGGAUGAAGGUUUUCGGAUUGUAAACUUCUUUGAUUGGGGACGAUAAUGACGGUACCCAAAAAACAAGCCACGGCUAACUACGUGCCAGCAGCCGC